GCGGAGGUAUUCGGGGAGACAGGUGGUGCAUGGUUGUCGUCAGCUCGUGUCGUGAGAUGUUGGGUUAAGUCCCGCAACGAGCGCAACCCCUAUUGCUAGUUACCAUCAUUAAGUUGGGGACUCUAGCGAGACUGCCAGUGAUAAACUGGAGGAAGGUGGGGAUGACGUCAAAUCAUCAUGCCCCUUAUGACCUGGGCUACAAACGUGAUACAAUGGCUGGAACAAAGGGAUGCGAAGCAGUGAUGUGGAGCGAAACCCAUAAAAACAGUCUCAGUUCGGAUUGAAGUCUGCAACUCGACUUCAUGAAGUCGGAAUCGCUAGUAAUCGCGGAUCAGAACGCCGCGGUGAAUACGUUCUCGGGGUUU
RNAcentral lists this ribosomal RNA (365 nucleotides) under uncultured Acholeplasma sp. RNAcentral's name for it is "bacterial SSU rRNA". It matches the Rfam family "Bacterial small subunit ribosomal RNA", at positions 1014 to 1382 of the family's 1533-position model. Lineage: Bacteria; Bacillati; Mycoplasmatota; Mollicutes; Acholeplasmatales; Acholeplasmataceae. The record is from RNAcentral.